This 359-nucleotide long non-coding RNA is filed under the name Glycine max (soybean). Its description in RNAcentral is "long non-coding RNA (GMAX_LNC001450)". Lineage: Eukaryota; Viridiplantae; Streptophyta; Magnoliopsida; Fabales; Fabaceae. The record is from RNAcentral.
UAAAUUCUCUUCAACCCUCUUUGCUUAUGCAUGCAGCAGUGUUAUCUUCUUGCGUGUUUGGUUCAACUUAUUUUUAUGAGAAUAACUUUUUGAUCAGUUUUUCUUAUAGUAUCAUAGCCGGUCUCUUAUCUAGCUAAAGGAGGAAGGUUGUGUUACGUCAUCAGUAGCCAACGUAAAAUUCGUUGAUAUACCUCAAAUCCAUUCAUAGUGGGGUUGUGUUAUGCCUUCGGUAAACAAUAAUGUCAAAUUCGUCGAUAUACCUAAAAUCACUCAUAGUCUCAUAUCUGGCUAAAGGAGAAAGGUUGUGUUACGUCUUCAGUAACCAAUGUAAAAUUCGUCUAUAUAUACCAAACAUGAAU